RNAcentral lists this non-coding RNA (45 nucleotides) under Schistosoma mansoni. The record is from RNAcentral. Lineage: Eukaryota; Metazoa; Platyhelminthes; Trematoda; Strigeidida; Schistosomatidae.
AUCCAGCUGACGAGUCCCAAACAGGACGAAACGCGCGUUCUGAAU